This 357-nucleotide transfer-messenger RNA is filed under the name Bacilli. RNAcentral's name for it is "HGM10818 sp900772445 Standard tmRNA". It matches the Rfam family "transfer-messenger RNA". Rfam says of the family: Bacterial tmRNA, also known as 10Sa RNA or SsrA, is named for its dual tRNA and mRNA-like properties. Its role is to liberate the mRNA from a stalled ribosome. RNAcentral also lists the same sequence under 1 other name. Lineage: Bacteria; Bacillati; Bacillota. The record is from RNAcentral.
GGGGGUGCCUUUGGCUUCGACGGGAUUAUUAAGAUUUAUUUUGCAAGUCGCGAGUCUUUCGUUAAAGACAAAAUUAAAUAUAACUGGAAACAGCUAUAAAAAUGCUGUUGCUUUUGCUUAAUUAAUUAAGUAAACAACAGGUCUUCCUAUUUCUUUGCUUGUGAGAAAUAAAGAAGACUUAUAAAGCAAGCUAUAUUGUGUUUAUGUUUAGGACUCACAACGAACUAUACUAAACUAGAAAAUAUUAUAGAUUGUCAAUUGACUAUACUAUUUUCAAAAAAUAAUAAUUGACUAAACUUGUAGAUAAAUAAGUUAAGAUUUUUUCGGACAGGGGUUCGAUUCCCCUCACCUCCACCA